UGCAGUCGAGCGGGCAGCAGGUUUGUAGCAGUACCAAUGCUGGCCACCGGCAAACGGGUGAGGAAUACGUACAGAACCUUCCNUCAAGCGGGGAAUAGCCCAGAGAAAUUUGCAUUAAUACCCCAUAAUAAAACGAAAAGGCAUCUCUUUGUUUUUAAAGAAUUUAUUCACUUGAAGACGGCUGUAUGGCUGAUUAGGUAGUUGGCGGGGUAACGGCCCACCAAGCCUACGAUCAGUAACUGGUGUGAGAGCACCACCAGUCACACGACUGCUGACACACGGGCCCCACUCCUACAGGAGGCGCAAUAAGGAAUAUUGGUCAAUGGACGCCGUCUGAACCAGCCAUGCCGCGUGAAGGAUGAAGGUCCUCUGGAUUGUAUACUUCUUUUAGAUGGGACGAAAAAAGGCCUUUCUAGGUCAUCUGACGGUACCAUAUGAAUAAGCACCGGAAAACUCCGUGCC
Molecule: ribosomal RNA, 462 nt
Filed under: uncultured bacterium
Lineage: Bacteria
Description: bacterial SSU rRNA
Rfam family: Bacterial small subunit ribosomal RNA
Source: RNAcentral